ACGCUCGACACCUACGGGAGGCAGCAGUGGGGAAUAUUGCACAAUGGGGGAAACCCUGAUGCAGCGACGCCGCGUGAGCGAAGAAGUAUUUCGGUAUGUAAAGCUCUAUCAGCAGGGAAGAAAUUGACGGUACCUGACUAAGAAGCACCGGCUAAAUACGUGCUAGCAGCCGCGGUAAUCUGAGCGGGCUGGCAAGGC
This 198-nucleotide ribosomal RNA is filed under the name uncultured bacterium. RNAcentral describes it as "partial 16S ribosomal RNA". It matches the Rfam family "Bacterial small subunit ribosomal RNA", at positions 328 to 539 of the family's 1533-position model. The record is from RNAcentral.